This is a long non-coding RNA of Tupaia belangeri chinensis (Chinese tree shrew), 698 nucleotides long. RefSeq lists it as uncharacterized. The transcript has 3 exons. The record is from RefSeq and is a predicted model, not a curated record. NCBI's taxonomy places the organism in Eukaryota, Metazoa, Chordata, Mammalia, Scandentia, Tupaiidae.
UAUUAUGUGGUAUGUGAAUUAUAUCUAUUUCUAUAUCUACCUUUAGAGAAAUGUGGAACACCAUUAAUGUACUAUAAAUGUAAUAAAGGUGUUUUUUAAAAAAAGUAUUUAAAGAAAUAAUGACUAAAAAUUUCCCACUUUUAUUCUCUACAGUGGGCCAGACAGUGGUGUGCUGGUUAAGGCAACUGGACCAAAUAGCUGACUGUGCAGUUCGUGUCCUGGACCCGACAGCUUCAAAACCAUGCCUGCUUGUUUUUGUGUGUGCCUGCAGGUCUAAAAUCGCCAAAGGAGAAAUGGAGGAGAGAGGACUGGUAUGACCAUCCUCCAUGGACUAAGGACCUAUAGACCGCAUCAGAUUCCCAAGAAUUUUGUAACUACUAAAAAAUUAAGAACCAUGGAUGUUGAGAAGACAAUUGGGAUUUUCCUGAGACAUAAUUAAAAUUAUGGUGUUUGAAGAUACUUACAGGAAAAACAUAUUAGAAGAAACGGACAUGAGAAUUCAGCUGUCUCUGUUACUCCAGACAUUAAAGAGAUUUACAGAGUGGAAAACAAUCCUGCUCUUCCUACUAGGUUGUUUUUGCUUGGAAAAUACAGAUAUUUUCAUAAAAAUAUGGUACUUAAGGAGCCAGUGGAUGGCAUGGUGGCUAAGGCAUUGGACUACUACAUGGCCAAUCGCAGUUCAAUACCCGAACCUGGUG